Long non-coding RNA from Rosa rugosa (rugosa rose), 362 nucleotides. RefSeq lists it as uncharacterized. Lineage: Eukaryota; Viridiplantae; Streptophyta; Magnoliopsida; Rosales; Rosaceae. The record is from RefSeq and is a predicted model, not a curated record. The transcript is spliced from 2 exons.
UCAAUAUAAAUGGUCGCAACGCUCCCUCAUCCCGACCCUCCCAAAGCCGCUAUCACUUCCUUUCCUUCUGCGCAGCCUUCUCUCCACAACUAGGGUUUUGGAAGCGAAUCUCAUUUCAGCGACGCCAUGAGGGCCAAGUGGAAGAAGAAGCGUAUGAGGAGGUUGAAGAGGAAGCGCCGAAAGAUGAGACAGAGAUCCAAGUAGUUGCCUUCAUCGAUCGACGUUCAGCUCGCCGGAAUUUCCUUGUUUUCGUGUUUCUAAUCAAGUAAUCAGCAUCGAUUAGUUCAGUUGUAGUAGAACGUUUUAUAAAUUUGUACUGUGUUUGAACACAUUUUGCUUAAUUCAGUCGGAUUUUGAACUUA